GUCCUUUUGUAGUUCGGGGGCAUGAUUUGGUGUUCGUGCCUAAGUGUGAUAUGUGCCUCCUUCUGAACCUGGUUACAGCGCUGGCACAUUACCCAUCUAACC
Pongo abelii (Sumatran orangutan) is the source of this 102-nucleotide small nucleolar RNA. The record is from Ensembl. Lineage: Eukaryota; Metazoa; Chordata; Mammalia; Primates; Hominidae.